AGGUAGCGAGGUAAUUUGUCUCUUAAUUGGUGACGAGACAUGAACGAAGAUACGGGGAAAUGCUGUUUCACAGGGUAUAAAUUUAAUUUUACAUGUGUGUGAAGAGGCAGACAUUAGUUAGAAGGACGACAAGACCCUAAAAGCUUUAUCUUGGGGUGCUAGAAUACUAGUUCCUUCUGGUUUUGUUGGGGCAACAGGUGAAAGGAAAAGUGCUCCCCCUUUUUAAGUUAUAUAGCUGAGUAUUUGGCUUAAAGUUCAGUCGUGUAAAAAUAACCACUUUUGUUUAGUGUUAAUUAAAUAUCACAAAAGUGAAAAUGAGUAGUUACUUUAGGGAUAACAGCGUAAUUUUUCUUUAUAGUUCGUAUUGAAAGAGAAGAUUGCGACCUCGAUGUUGGAUUAAGG
This 402-nucleotide ribosomal RNA is filed under the name Modiolus modiolus (northern horsemussel). RNAcentral's name for it is "partial 16S ribosomal RNA". It matches the Rfam family "Archaeal large subunit ribosomal RNA", at positions 2031 to 2611 of the family's 2987-position model. The record is from RNAcentral. Lineage: Eukaryota; Metazoa; Mollusca; Bivalvia; Mytilida; Modiolidae.